Rhinopithecus bieti (black snub-nosed monkey) is the source of this 2873-nucleotide long non-coding RNA. The record is from Ensembl. Lineage: Eukaryota; Metazoa; Chordata; Mammalia; Primates; Cercopithecidae.
AUGGGCAGGUAUGGGAUUUGGAAGCAGUAUGAAAGUAACAUCAUUUGUUUUUGCAGACUUUGUAAUUUUCUUCUGGAAAACCCAGAUUAUCCAAAGAGAGAAGAUAGAAUCAUUAUAAAUCCCAGUAGCAGUCUGCUGGCCAGCCAGGAUGAGACAAAGUUGCCUAAAAUAGACUUUUUUGACUAUUCUAAAUUGACUCCUCUUGACCAGCGCUGCUUCAUCCAAGCUGCUGACCUCCUCAUGGCCGACUUCAAAAUGCUCAGUAGUCAGGACAUCAAGUGGGCCCUGCACGAGCUCAAAGGACACUAUGCAAUCACCCGAAAGGUGCUCUACUUGGUCUUCCUCUUGGGGUGACACCUCUUGGCUACAUCUUCCCAUGAUAACAGAAUGAACAGUCCAGCUUGUGGAAAUUGGGAUGGUUUAUGAUUGCUAAGGAAUUAGGGUGAAGAUAAAUACGUAUUUGCUGAUCAUGCAGGGUUAAAUGAAAAGAAAUAAUAGAUAGUUGAGAAGCAGAGAAGUCCUGGUUUGACCAUAAAAACCUGGAGGGUAAUACAUUCUACUGUGGAAUGCAGGAGUAUGAAAGAUGUGUUCUAAUCCUGCUCCUUCCUGAUUUGCUUUCUGACUUGGGACAGGUCACACGACCAUCCAUCCCCCAGAUGGCUCAGUUAUCAGUGAUAGGACAUAAGGUCUGUAAAGAGUCCGGGAACAAGAAUGGGCAGCUACUGACAGCUCCUAGCGUUUUCCCCCCAGGAUCCUAAAAUAGAUAGCACUUAAAGGCCUUUGUUAAGGGUGAGAAGGGUGCUGGUUCGUGGUGGGUAACACAGAUAUCUUCCAUGAAGGACAGCACAUGGUGCCCACUUUGUAGCUGUGGCCAGAACAGGAGUGCAUGCACCAGCAGAGACCUUGGCUUACUCCUCUUGGUCGCCCUUACUGCCAUUAAAUUCUAUUCUACUGAAAUUCUUGUGAUUCUCAGCAAACACUGUGAUGUUUCUUUUGUCCAAAGGACAAACAUGGAGUUACCGUAGUGGUUAAAAUACUCAUUGGGUCUUACCUGUAGGAAGAGAAGAACCAAGCCGAGGACUGUGGCUCAUGCUGAGGUAGGCCAAGCCCCUUCCACCUUUUUUUUUUUUGAGAUGGAGUCUCGCUCUUUCACCCAGGCUGGAGUGCAAUGGCGCGAUCUCAGCUUACUGCAGCCUCUGCCUUCCCAGUUCAAGCGAUUCUCCUGCGUCAGCCUCCUGAGUAGCUGGGACUACAGAUGCUCACCACCACACCUGGCUGAGUUUUGUAUUUUUGGUAAAGAUGGGGUUUCACCAUGUUGGCCAGGCUGGUCAGCAACUCCUGACCUCACAUGAUCCGCCUGCCUCAGCCUCCCAGAGGGCUGGGAUUACUGGCAUGAGCCACCGUGCCCGGCCAAAAAAAGACUGAAAGAAAAAUAGAGGGGCUUUGAAAGGGUAAAACAGGAGACAACCUAAGGUAGACCAAGGGUCUCCAGAAGGGCCUCCCUGAACAAGGAACAUUUAAUCCCAGACCCAAGUAGGAGUUUCGUGGAAGAUGUUGGUAUCAUUUGUUGAGGUGAGAACUAGUAUAAACAUUUGCUUUGGAGGGAAAUAAUCAUGAAUUCAGUCUGGGAAACAUUGGUUGCCAGUGUGCUGAGAAGUGCCUGUGAGAUAUCUAAGUAAAAAUAAUUCACUGAAAGGUUGAAUGGACUAAAAAGUUUGGAAAAUACAGACUGUAGAUAGGUUUUAGGGGUGGGUGUGUGUGUGUGUGUGUGUGUGUGUGUGUGUGUGUGUGUGUCUCCUUGGGUUUUAUGGUGAUAGGACUUUGAGAGUCAUCAGCAUAUGGAAAAUCUCACCAGCCAGGAUGAGGUACCCGGAGAUAUCAGGUGAGAAGAGAGGACUGCUGACAUGUGAAGACCGAACGGAGGAGGCAGGCAGACAGGAAGGAGGAAGUUGUGAGACUGGAGCAGUCUGUAUUAUCACAUCAUCAUCAUUGUUAUUCUUGUUUACUAACAGGAUCUCUCUCUGUUACCCAGGCUGGAGUACAGUGGCACAAUCAUGGCUUAUUGCAACCUUGACCUUCUGGGCUCAAGCCGUCCUCCUGCCUCAGCUUCCCCUGUAGCUAGGACUACAGGUGCAUACCACCACACCUGGAUGAUCUUUUUAUUUUGUGUUUUGUAGAAAUGGGGUCUUGCUAGAUUGUGCAGGUUGGUCUUGAACUCCUGGCCUCAGGCUGUCCUCCCAUCUCAACCUCCUAAAGCACUGGGAUGCCACCAUGCCCAGCCUGUUAUUAAAUACUGCUAAGAGUUUGUGCAAGAUGAGGGCUAAAAUGUAGAUGGUAGACUUGUAGACUUGGCCACUCAAUAAUAAGCAUAGAUUAGUAAGUGCAAAGGCAGGGUAGAUGCCAGAUUAGAGACAGCUGGAAAGCUUGUGGUCAUAAGGGUGAGGUGGUGAAACAGCAGAUAAACAGCUCCUUUGAUAAGUUUCUCUACAAAGAGGGGAAGAAGAAAGAGGGGCUGGCAUUGAAAGAGAGAUGAGAUCACCUUCUCAACACUGCCACACUGGGGAUUAAGUUUCAGCAGGAGUUUCAGAUAAACACUGCCAUUAUAGCCACCCCCCUUCUCAUGCCGCCCAGGCUUGGACCCCAGCCUGCCCUGCACCCUAACAACAUAGCCAUAGGACAUGAGCCCCAGGGCCUCCUACCCCCUACCACACUCAGGAGUCCCACCCAGUCUUCCUGAAAGGCUCCCACUCUUCCUUCUUCUCUUACAGGCAGAAUGGCCCUACCUCACAUACCCCUCCUUCCUGUUCAAAUCAGGUACCCCUUCUCCCUCCUUUUUUUAGGAUGGCAAAGACUUGAGCACUUUUUUUUUUUUU